GACGAACGCUGGCGGCGCGCCUAACACAUGCAAGUCGAACGGAGCUGAGAGAAGCUUGCUUUUCUUAGCUUAGUGGCGAACGGGUGAGUAACGCGUGAGUAACCUGCCCUGGAGUGGGGGACAACAGUUGGAAACGACUGCUAAUACCGCAUAAGCCCACGAUCCGGCAUGGGAUUGAGGGAAAAGGAUUUAUUCGCUUCAGGAUGGACUCGCGUCCAAUUAGCUAGUUGGUGAGGUAACGGCCCACCAAGGCGACGAUUGGUAGCCGGACUGAGAGGUUGGACGGCCACAUUGGGACUGAGACACGGCCCAGACUCCUACGGGAGGCAGCAGUGGGGGAUAUUGCACAAUGGGGGAAACCCUGAUGCAGCGACGCCGCGUAGAGGAAGAAGGUUUUCGGAUUGUAAACUCCUGUCGUUAGGGACGAUAAUGACGGUACCUAACAAGAAAGCACCGGCUAACUACGUG
RNAcentral lists this ribosomal RNA (468 nucleotides) under uncultured bacterium. RNAcentral describes it as "partial 16S ribosomal RNA". It matches the Rfam family "Bacterial small subunit ribosomal RNA", at positions 28 to 507 of the family's 1533-position model. The record is from RNAcentral.